GUGAAUCAUCGAAUCUUUGAACGCAAAUUGCGCUUCCUGGUAUCCCGUGGAGUAUGCCUGUUUGAGGGUCAGUAUUAACAAAAAGUCUUGUUGGGUGCAGAGUGUUACGUUUCCGGAGUUUGGGCUUGUCUUAACUUUUUUGGUUAAGGGUCUGAAAGUUGACCUUUUUUGCGCAUUUUUAGACUUACAUAAAUUUUUUUUUAUUCGUCUAUUCUUAUUGCCAAAAUCUUAUUAGAUGCGGUCACAUCGUGUGGCUGC
RNAcentral lists this unclassified non-coding RNA (258 nucleotides) under Rhizophagus sp. (in: glomeromycetes). RNAcentral describes it as "partial contains 5.8S ribosomal RNA and internal transcribed spacer 2". The stretch from base 1 to 71 matches the Rfam family "5.8S ribosomal RNA", at positions 84 to 154 of the family's 154-position model. The record is from RNAcentral. Lineage: Eukaryota; Fungi; Glomeromycota; Glomeromycetes; Glomerales; Glomeraceae.